Long non-coding RNA from Oxyura jamaicensis (ruddy duck), 1109 nucleotides. RefSeq lists it as uncharacterized. The record is from RefSeq and is a predicted model, not a curated record. NCBI's taxonomy places the organism in Eukaryota, Metazoa, Chordata, Aves, Anseriformes, Anatidae. The transcript is spliced from 3 exons.
CUGUUUAAUUCACAGAAUGCAUCCAGGCCUACUCAAGCAAGAGUUUAUAAUAUGCUGCACUGAAAAAUACAAUGCUAACAAAAUUAUAUAUGGGAGGGUAUUGACUUUUCUUCAUUAUCCAGGUUUUAAUAGACCAAACAUAAAAGCUGGCCAAGAACUCAAUUUCAUACAAUUCAGUUGAGCCUGACACUGGUCUCUGUGAGGAAAAACCUGGAUCCAAGCAGCCUAAACCUGCCAGCUCCUAUUUAUAAUUUUUUAAAUCAGAAAGCAUCACCUCAGAAAUCAUAGGUGGUGGCAAGCAAAAUACAGCAGUUUCUCUUUGGCAUCAACUCAAAAGAAUUUCAAAACCAAACAGAUGAAGGAGAAAUAUACUUGUAAAUACCAAGUCCAUGACUGAAAUUUGGGGAUUAAGGGAAACUGGACAACUCAUCUCUGAAGAAACUUCAGGGAGCUUUAUUUUUGGCAGCAGAAAGCUGGAAACCACAUUGCUUCUCCUUGGAUAUUCCUGGAGAAAUACUGGACAAAUACAUAUUUCAUCUUUAUGGAUCAUGACAAUGCUGCAUAACUACAAAAAUACAUACAGUGAUGUUAAAACUGACAAUACAGAUAAAACUAUCUUCUAAUAAUACUUACAGAUAAAGACUUGCAUGUGACGUGUGUUCAAAAAUAUGAUUAUUCACAUUACAAAUAAUAUUCCAUGCCUAUUAUCUGGUAGAAUAUGAUUGGUUAUUCACAGAAUCAUUCACACAAAUUUGUCCUAUCUUUUUAAAUACACAUCUCAUUUAUUACAUGGAAUCUACUUUGCUCUGUUAUCAGCUCCUGAGUUAUCUAUUUGUUCAAUGCUCAUGUCAAAUUCUUAGAAAAAGACUUCUUAUGGCAUAUCUUACAGAGAUGGGUUCAACUGUGUAGGCAUCAUGGGUUAAGUUAGGAUGCAAAAUAUGCCUUCCAAUGAAAUAAACACUAUGAAUUAAGUUGAUGUAAGCAUGUUAAGAAACCUUGCUUCUGAAACAUCAUGGUCCUAAGAGAGCUCAACUGUACCAGGUUGUUUAAAAAUAUUGAACAACAGACUAUCUAAUUUUAUUUUUUUAAUUAUGUUAAUGUUGUCAAAA